Long non-coding RNA from Leptidea sinapis, 1047 nucleotides. RefSeq lists it as uncharacterized. The record is from RefSeq and is a predicted model, not a curated record. The transcript is spliced from 3 exons. Lineage: Eukaryota; Metazoa; Arthropoda; Insecta; Lepidoptera; Pieridae.
CACUGAGAUUCUGUACCUGGAUUAAUUUUUGGAAGUGUAAUAAUUUUGUUUUUUAUUAGAUCUUUAUAUAAAUCCCAAUCAACAUCAUUAAGCUUAUAUUUUAAACGAGGAGAAUAAGUAUUAUGUAAUACUUUAUUGUUAUUAUUGCAGGUUGGAAAUGAUAAUAAUAGUGGGAAGUGAUCACUACCAAAAGUAGAUCGUAAUGGAUCCCAGGACAAAGAAGAAGCAAGAUUAGGUGUAGUGACUGUUAUAUCUGGAGCACUUGGGCCCUCGUCAGGAUGAGAACGUCGUGUUGGACGACCAUCAUUUAAUAUACACAAAUUCACUGAAUCAAAUAUAUCUAUUAAUGUGUUACCAUAACUAUUAGAAGAUAAGUAACCCCAGGAUUCAUGGCGACAGUUAAAAUCACCAAGGAUCAUAAAAGGCUUCGGAAGAAUGGAAAUAAUAUCUUUAAUUUCAUUUAAGAUUGCAGAAGAAGGAUGAGGUAUAUAAAUAGAUACAUAACAGAUAUUUUCAACUAAAGCAGCAAUAAUAGAAAAAUCAUUACUGUGAGAAGGAAUAGAGAAGAGAGAAAAGGAAAGAGGGUGUUUCACAAGCAUGGCUACUCCGCCAUGCCCAUCCACACGAUCUUCUCUGAGACAUGAAUAACCACGAAUCUUAAAUAAAGGUCCUGGUUUCAACCAUGUCUCUUGAAGAGCACAGAUAUAAGAAACUAAUAAGGCAGCGUUGGACGGUGAAAAUUCAUUCGAUUGACUAAGAGAUUUUAUAAGAGAAAUAAUUAAAUCAAUUACUGAGGAUUCCAAAGGAUUUUCAUUUUCUUUGUUAAUUAAUGCACAUCCAUUAGAGGGUUGGGGAAUAUUAAAAUCCCUUAAAAUUUCUUGUGUCUGCAUAUUCUGGGUCGAGCUGACACUCUUUUACGGCCACUAGAUGUCUGAGACACAGAACCAUCUGUAUCCAUAGUGCUACCUUCGUCAUUAUUAGAAAUUGUCACUACAUGACCUAUAUCAGGGGCUGUCCCCCCAGGAUCAUCCGGGGGGUCCAUCAUAU